UAGCAUUCGCAGUGCGCUGGUUUGCCUGAUAACAGGCAGGGGAAUGCGGUGAGAAUCCGUGACUGACGCGCAGCGGUGAUAGAGAACGAAAGCACAAGGACGUUAGUUCCGAACACUGCUUCUGCAGACGGUGCAAUGCUGUCGAUUGAAGUGGGAAGUUGUUGCCUAGGUGGUUGUCCAACCAUGCUCUUAAGUCCGAAGACCGACCAGUGUACCGAGUAGCCC
RNAcentral lists this non-coding RNA (225 nucleotides) under Photobacterium ganghwense. Lineage: Bacteria; Pseudomonadati; Pseudomonadota; Gammaproteobacteria; Vibrionales; Vibrionaceae. The record is from RNAcentral.